This 253-nucleotide ribosomal RNA is filed under the name uncultured bacterium. RNAcentral's name for it is "partial 16S ribosomal RNA". It matches the Rfam family "Bacterial small subunit ribosomal RNA", at positions 524 to 776 of the family's 1533-position model. The record is from RNAcentral.
UACGUAGGGACCAAGCGUUGUUCGGAUUCACUGGGCGUACAGGGAGCGUAGGCGGUCGGGUAAGCCCUCCGUGAAAUCUCCGGGCCUAACCCGGAAAGUGCGGAGGGGACUGCUCGGCUAGAGGAUGGGAGAGGAGCGCGGAAUUCCCGGUGUAGCGGUGAAAUGCGUAGAGAUCGGGAGGAAGGCCGGUGGCGAAGGCGGCGCUCUGGAACAUUUCUGACGCUGAGGCUCGAAAGCGUGGGGAGCAAACAGG